CCCAGGUCACAGUAAAAGGGAAAACACUUAUGGAUAUGGAGAUGCCACAAAAUUAGAGUAUUUGGGAUCGAAACCAUCACCUCACCUGCCUGGACUCACAAUGAGCAAUACUCUGGGAUCUUUUGAUAUUUGUGGAUUACAUGUUACUGAAAGCCAAUUUACCUGAUUCUGAAAAAUACCAAUGCUUAUUUCGAUAGAAAAUUUCAGCCUUGGAACUACACGCAUCGAACUGCUUUCCUCUGACUUCAAUCUCAGAAACACUGUUCUUAAAUAUAAAAGGUAACAGAUCACCC
RNAcentral lists this long non-coding RNA (293 nucleotides) under Homo sapiens (human). RNAcentral's name for it is "HSALNT0056816". Lineage: Eukaryota; Metazoa; Chordata; Mammalia; Primates; Hominidae. The record is from RNAcentral.